ACAGAAACAACUGGACGACAAAAACAAAAUGCACACACAGCUACAUACUGGAUAAAUUGGAAAUCAACAACAGAGAAAAGACACCAGAAUGAAGAGGGAGAGAAAAGGCUUAAAGAGAGAGCUAUAGGAAAGUUCCAAACAUGUUCCCAGGGACAGAUUUAUAGGAGGACAUGAUCCAAAGAGGCAUAAGAUAGCUGGACAUGUAUGGAUGGAUUGGGAUCCGUUUCAUCCAUCUAGAAGAAAUCACAGAUCCAUUAGAAUGUAAAUAUCUUUAGGACCUCUGGGUCGGGCGCUGUGGAAACAAAGGUGGAAAGAUACAAUCCCUUCUCUCCAAAAGCCUUUCAUCCAAUUUGGAGAUGCUACGGGGAAGGAUGUCAAAGUGAGCUCCGGCGUCCCCCGAGGAGAUCGGAGGAGGAAAAGCUCCCUUCCAGCAGGGGAGAAGGAGAUGCCUCCGAGAGGGCAGCAGUAUUUGAGCUGGGUCCUGAAGGAGAUCGCUUCAGGCGGCAGAGACACGGUGCGGUGCGUAUCCCAAGCAGGGAGAGAGAAUUGAGAAUUCUUAGAUAUAGAAUUCUGGAAGAGGAAGAGUGAAGUAAGAGCAGAAAAGUCGAUGAAAGGUGAAUUGUGGAAGGCUUCAAAUGCUAGGCUAAGGAGUUUUAAUUUUAUUCCAGAGGCAGUAGGGAGUCACUGAAGGUUCUUAGACAGUAGAAUAACUUGGUCGGACCUGAGGGUGCGGUAGGCAACAGAUGAUGAGUUAGGUCCUGAUGAGUAAAGCCAGCCAUGUGUUAUAGGAUCUUAAGACAAUUAAAGAUGUUUUUAUUUUUAGAUUUUAGGAAAAUUUUAUUUAAUUAGUUAAUUUAGAGUAUUUUCCCAUGGUUACAUGAUUCAUGUUCUUUCCCUUCCCUCCUCCUGUCCCCCCAACUGAAGCUCAAUCUUACUGGGCUUUACAUGUGUCAUUGAUCAAGACCUAUUUCCAUAUUAUUAAUAAUUGCACCAGGGUGAUCGGUUAGAGUCUGCAUCCCCAAUCAGGUCCUCAUUGAACCAUGUGAUCGAGCAGUUGUUUUUCUUCUACAUUUCUGCUCCCACAGUUCUUUCUCAUAGAUCCCUCCGGGUUGCUCAGGAUCACUGCAUCGCCAUUAAUGGAGAAGUCCAUUACGUUCGAUUGUACCACAGUGUAUCAGUCUCUGUGUACAAUGUUCUCCUGGUUCUGCUCCUCUCACUCUGCAUCAAUUCCUGGAGGCUGUUCCAGUUCACAUGGAAUUCCUAAGUAAUGAUUUUUUUUUUUUUUUGGAUGGGGCUUUAUCUAGUGUUGAGUCACUGCUUGCUUCUUAAAUAUUUAAUAACACAAAUGUGCAUUUCUACAUGCCUGAUGGUUGCAAACAGGAGUUUAUGAAAGACCUCUUUGAAAUAAUAGCAAUUUGCAAGGUCAUGUUGGGGGAAGUGGGUGUCUGACAGAAUAAGCUUAUGAGGACAGCCACAGGCAAAAUCCAUAGCUAGUAUUUACAAAGUACUUAGGGCUUGCAGAGAGUUUUACAUAUGUUACCACAUUAAAUCAUUAACAUUACCCUGCAAAGUAAUGGUGCUAUUAUCACUCCCGUUUUACAGAGGAGGGAACCAAGACUGAUAGAGGUUAAGUGAAUUGUCCAGGGUCACAUAGCUAGUUGGUAUCUUAGGGCAGAAUUUGAAUUCAGGUCUUCCUGACUUUGAGUCUAGCAUUUUAUCAUUAAAAUACCUAAACACAUUUUAUCAAGUCUUUUUCACUCUAUGAGCCAAAUGUAAUACUGGCACACUCCAAAACCCAGAUUUUAAGGAAGUCAGUCAGUUAAUAAACAUUUAUUAAGCACCCA
Molecule: long non-coding RNA, 1844 nt
Organism: Monodelphis domestica (gray short-tailed opossum)
Lineage: Eukaryota; Metazoa; Chordata; Mammalia; Didelphimorphia; Didelphidae
Source: Ensembl